RNAcentral lists this ribosomal RNA (253 nucleotides) under uncultured bacterium. RNAcentral's name for it is "partial 16S ribosomal RNA". It matches the Rfam family "Bacterial small subunit ribosomal RNA", at positions 524 to 776 of the family's 1533-position model. The record is from RNAcentral.
UACGUAGGGGGCAAGCGUUGUCCGGAUUUAUUGGGCGUAAAGCGCCCGCAGGCGGCCUGGCAAGUUUCAGGUGAAAUCUCCCGGCUUAACUGGGAGGGGUCCUGGAAAACUGUCAGGCUUGAGGCAGGGAGAGGGAUGUGGAAUUCCCGGUGUAGUGGUGAAAUGCGUAGAUAUCGGGAGGAACACCAGUGGCGAAGGCGGCAUCCUGGCCCUGUCCUGACGCUCAGGGGCGAAAGCGUGGGGAGCAAACCGG